Molecule: ribosomal RNA, 770 nt
Filed under: uncultured archaeon
Lineage: Archaea
Description: bacterial SSU rRNA
Rfam family: Archaeal small subunit ribosomal RNA
Source: RNAcentral
CUCAGUAACACGUGGAUAAUCUGCCCUUAGGUGGAGGAUAACCUCGGGAAACUGAGAAUAAUACUCCAUAGAUCUAGGAUGCUGGAAUGCACUUAGAUUGAAAGUUCCGACGCCUAAGGAUGAGUCUGCGGACUAUCAGGUAGUAGUCAGGGUAAAGGCCUGACUAGCCUACGACGGAUACGGGUUGUGAGAGCAAUAACCCGGAGACGAUAUCUGAGACACGAUAUCGGGCCCUACGGGGCGCAGCAGGCGCGAAACCUUCACAAUGUGCGAAAGCACGAUGAGGGGAUCCCAAGUGCUUGCUCGUAAGAGUAAGCUGUUUUUAUGUCUAAAACGCAUAGAGAGUAAGGGCUGGGUAAGACGGGUGCCAGCCGCCGCGGUAAUACCUGCAGCUCAAGUGGUGACCACUAUUAUUGGGCCUAAAACGUUCGUAGCCGGUUUGGUAAAUGCCUGGGUAAAUCGUGUAGCUUAACUAUACGAAUUCCGGGUAGACUGCCAAACUUGAGACCGGGAGAAGCUAGAGGUACUCCUGGGGUAGAGGUGAAAUUCUGUAAUCCUGGGGGGACCACCAGUGGCGAAGGCGUCUAGCUAGAACGGGUUUGACGGUGAGGAACGAAGCCCUGGGGCGCAAACCGGAUUAGAUACCCGGGUAGUCCAGGGUGUAAACGCUGCUUGCUUGAUGUUAGUUGGGCUCCGAGCCCAAUUAGUGUCGGAGAGAAGUUGUUAAGCAAGCUGCCUGGGAAGUACGAUCGCAAGAUUGAAACUUAAAG